RNA transcript from Oreochromis niloticus (Nile tilapia), 1679 nucleotides. It is a transcript of the gene named polymeric immunoglobulin receptor, with no coding region annotated. The record is from RefSeq and is a predicted model, not a curated record. The transcript has 6 exons. NCBI's taxonomy places the organism in Eukaryota, Metazoa, Chordata, Actinopteri, Cichliformes, Cichlidae.
GUCUGCAUUUAUUUUUAUUCUGCUGAUCUCUGUCUAUCAGUAGUGUUUAUCUAGACUGAACCAACGGGAUCAGUAUUAGCAGAGACAUUAUGCUAAAAAGGUAAAACAGUAAUAAUCACUUUUUAUUUUAUUGUUAUUUUAUUUAUUUUGUAUUUUUACUGGUUGAAGUCAGACUGUAGAUUUUCCUUCUUCUAGCUGUACUGACUGACCUUUGACCUCAUGUGUUGAUGACUCUUCACCUCUGUCUCCUCUCACAGGGAGAAGAUGAUCUGCAGGAUCCUGCUGCUCAUCAUCCUCACCUCAUGUGUCUCUGGAUCAUUUGUAGUCAAUGUGACACAGACCUGCUAUCAGGCAGAGGAGAACCACAACAUCACACUGGAGUGGACGUUCACCACCAAACCUGACAGAUCCUCCAAAACUCUCAACAUCCUCUGUGAACUCUUUAUCAGUGAUAACAUCUCAGUCGUGUAUCAUGUUCAUGAAGGUGUUGAGGUGUCAGAGUCUCAGGAUCCAAAGUUUUCAGGACGAGUCCAGAGUGACAAAGACGCCCUCAGAGAAGGACGAAUCAGACUUCAACUGUCCAGACUGAGGACUGAUGACUCGGGUCUGUACCUGUGUGAGGUCAACACUGAUUAUGGCUUCAGUGUUGGAAGAUGUCGACUCAACGUCACUGGUCCAGCUGGGCUCGUCAAGCCAAAACAUAAUAUUUGGUCUGCAGCUGAAGGAGCAAAUGGCACGCUUAACUGCAACUUAUCUUUGUCUGGAAGCACAAAGUUCUUCUGUAAGGAAAAAUGUGAGCGAGCAGAAGAUAUCCUCAUUAAAACAGAUGAAAGCACAGCUCAGAGUGGGAGAUACAGCAUGAAGUAUAAAGAUGGAUCUCCAAGAAGAGGAAUUGUGUUUUUAAGCUUCUCACAAAUGAUCAAGUCUGACGCAGGAAUGUACAGGUGUGGUUUGGGAAAAUCUUCUGCUCCAGAUUCAUACUUUGACUUUGAGGUCAGAGUUUCAAAUGAUCUGGAUAGAAACGUUGGUUUUUAUCGCACACAAACUGAGGGAGAAAACAUCACAUUGGGAUGUUCCAAUACAGUGACUGGACACAGGAAGUUCUUUUGUAAGAAUCAGUGUAAGAAUGAAGGGGAGAUCCUCAUUGACACAACUAAUAACAAAUCUGUGAGUGGCAGAUACAGCAUUGAACACAGACCAGGAUCUGUGUACGGACUGUAUGCAACCAUCACACAGUCGUCCAAGUCAGACACAGGAAAGUACAUCUGUGGUUAUGGAAACCCUCUGUCUCCUGAUUCAUAUGCGAAUGAAUAUUUUCUUGUCAUUGAUGCUUAAAUUGAGGGGAAAACAUCUGUAUCAUCAUCAUCUUUCACUAAAGCUGAGUGUUUCUACUCAUACAGAUUCAAACCCACCUACUUCCACACCACAAACAACAACACAAAUGGCUUCCAACCCACCUGCUUCCACUCUACAGACAGCAACAACACAGAGUGAAAGUGUCACUGCAGGAGUCUCUACACAUUGUCCUGACUCCUCCUGGCUUCUGGUUGUGCGUGCGUCCUUGGAUGGUGUUUUGCUGAUGGCUGUUUUCCUCAUGCUCUUCUACAUUAGUAAGACAAGGAGGAACUUUGGACUGAAGAGCAGAGAAAAUGACACAAACAUGGAGGUGAGUUUGUGUC